This 497-nucleotide ribosomal RNA is filed under the name uncultured bacterium. RNAcentral's name for it is "partial 16S ribosomal RNA". It matches the Rfam family "Bacterial small subunit ribosomal RNA", at positions 28 to 507 of the family's 1533-position model. The record is from RNAcentral.
GAUGAACGCUGGCGGCGUGCCUAAUACAUGCAAGUCGAGCGAACGGACGAGAAGCUUGCUUCUCUGAUGUUAUCGGCGGACGGGUGAGUAACACGUGGAUAACCUACCUAUAAGACUGGGAUAACUUCGGGAAACCGGAGCUAAUACCGGAUAAUAUUUUGAACCGCAUGGUUCAAAAGUGAAAGACGGUCUUGCUGUCACUUAUAGAUGGAUCCGCGCUGCAUUAGCUAGUUGGUAAGGUAACGGCUUACCAAGGCAACGAUGCAUAGCCGACCUGAGAGGGUGAUCGGCCACACUGGAGCUGAGACGCGGUCCAGACUCCUACGGGAGGCAGCAGUAGGGAAUCUUCCGCAAUGGGCGAAAGCCUGACGGAGCAACGCCGCGUGAGUGAUGAAGGUCUUCGGAUCGUAAAACUCUGUUAUUAGGGAAGAACAUAUGUGUAAGUAACUGUGCACAUCUUGACGGUACCUGAUCAGAAAGCCACGGCUAACUACGUG